GCCAUACUGGUGUAAAGGUAGCACAGCGGCCUCGUAAGUCUUUGCAGAUCUGGGUUCAAACCCCGGGUAUGGCA
Non-coding RNA from Hypoxylon crocopeplum, 74 nucleotides. NCBI's taxonomy places the organism in Eukaryota, Fungi, Ascomycota, Sordariomycetes, Xylariales, Hypoxylaceae. The record is from the annotation of a GenBank genome assembly.